RNAcentral lists this ribosomal RNA (567 nucleotides) under uncultured bacterium. RNAcentral's name for it is "bacterial SSU rRNA". It matches the Rfam family "Bacterial small subunit ribosomal RNA", at positions 353 to 912 of the family's 1533-position model. The record is from RNAcentral.
AGUGGGGAAUUUUGGACAAUGGGCGCAAGCCUGAUCCAGCCAUUCCGCGUGCAGGAUGAAGGCCCUCGGAUUGUAAACUCCUGUUGCCCGGGACGAAAAGCUUCGACCUAACACGUCGAAGUCUGACGGUACCGGGUGAGGAAGCCCCGGCUAACUCUGUGCCAGCAGCCGCGGUAAUACAGAGGGGGCAAGCGUUGUUCGGAAUUACUGGGCGUAAAGGGCGCGUAGGCGGCCUGCUAAGUCGAACGUGAAAUCCCUGGGCUCAACCCAGGAACUGCGUUCGAUACUGGUUGGCUUGAAUUCGGGAGAGGGAUGCGGAAUUCCAGGUGUAGCGGUGAAAUGCGUAGAUAUCUGGAGGAACACCGGUGGCGAAGGCGGCAUCCUGGACCGGCAUUGACGCUGAGGCGCGAAAGCCAGGGGAGCAAACGGGAUUAGAUACCCCGGUAGUCCUGGCCCUAAACGAUGAGUGCUUGGUGUGGCGGGUAUCGAUCCCUGCCGUGCCGAAGCUAACGCAUUAAGCACUCCGCCUGGGGAGUACGGUCGCAAGGCUGAAACUCAAAGGAAUUG